Molecule: long non-coding RNA, 1008 nt
Organism: Equus caballus (horse)
Lineage: Eukaryota; Metazoa; Chordata; Mammalia; Perissodactyla; Equidae
Source: RefSeq, a predicted model, not a curated record
GAAAUAGAAUGAGUGUCAUGAAGCCUCUCACAGACUCCUGGAGCCUCAGCCAAGAUCUCCAUCAAAGCUGCUAGCUCAUGAAGAAGAUCCACAAACACCAGUAGUAUUCUCAACUGAAAGGUAGGCUCGAGCAAGGAAUGAAGCCGUCUGCCAACAACUAAAGCCGUCUGCCAACAACUAACACCAACUUGCCAGCCAAUAAGUAAGCCAUCUUGGAAGUGGAUCCUCCAGCCUUGGUCAAGACUGAAGAUGACCACAGCAGCAGCCAGCAUCUUGACUGUAACCUCAUGAGAGACCCUGAGCCAGAAGCACCCAGCUAAGCUGCUCCUCAAUACCUAACCCACAGAAACUUUGCAGGUGUAACAUGCACAAUCGACAUGCCCAGUAUUCACCAACUUACUGUACAAUACCAUCCUACCACCCUUACAUCAGUACCAUGGAGACGCCACCUGCCAAAUCAGAGGAAUCCAGUUGUUUCCAGAAGUUGCCCUUCUCUAAUAAGUGCAAAGAGACUCAUUCAUGUUCUGGAUACAGUCUUGGGAAGAGAAACCGAAGGACUCCAUUGAGGAUCCAGAAUGAUGAUUUGCAAAGGAGUACCUCCUGGAGGAAAAGGCUGAGGCUGGGAUCUGAAGAUAAAACUGACCUACUUCACAGUUUUACUUGGGGCCAGCAGAACAUUUUUUCACUGAGCUGAGUCUUUUGAAGCUUGUAAAAUUCACCCCAGAGAGCAAUCAGAGGAACCUUAAUUUGGGAGUCCAGAGUAAUCCUAAAAUGAAAGGAGGCACUGUCUAUCAGUCAUCAUCAAGGAUGAAAAAUGAACAUGAACAUCCUCUGUGUAGCUGCUGGUCCCAGAAUGAGGAAGACAUGUGGAACAGACCUGAGCCCAGCCCAAAGCCUGGACUCCAGCCUAGUCCAGUUUGGCCCAGCCAAGCCCAAGCCAUAUCAUGAGAACCACAGCCAACCUGCAGUCCUCGAGUGAGAAAAAUAAAUGCUUUUAUAAGUCAUGGA